This 219-nucleotide unclassified non-coding RNA is filed under the name uncultured soil eukaryote. Its description in RNAcentral is "sequence contains 5.8S rRNA gene, ITS2, 28S rRNA gene". The record is from RNAcentral.
AACGCAAAUGGCGCUUGUAGCAAUACAAGCACACUUGUUUGAGUGUCGUUAAUCAUCUACUCUCUCAAGAGUGACUGAUCAUGGUCAAACCGAAUGGUUUCGUCUAUGUAAAUAAAAUGAUAACAUCUCUAACAAUGUUUGAAAAGACAAAGUAGUGAUUGUUAACCAUUAAAUCUCAUCAUCGACCUCAAAUCAAGUGAGAGUACCCGCUGAAUUUAA